AGCCUUUGUGUUGAGAUACAUGGAGCAAAGGGUGGUAUCCUGCACCCUGUGUCAUCCACCCAACAUCUGGGUGUACAGCAAAUUGGAGCAGAUAGUUUCCAAAUGAAAUCUGAGCUGAUGCCAGCUGCCUGCAAACUGGACCUGAUUUAAAAAUAAAAUCUCCCUGCCUGCAAGUCA
This 177-nucleotide long non-coding RNA is filed under the name Phasianus colchicus (ring-necked pheasant). Its description in RNAcentral is "lncRNA (ENSPCLG00000018973.1)". Lineage: Eukaryota; Metazoa; Chordata; Aves; Galliformes; Phasianidae. The record is from RNAcentral.